Molecule: small RNA, 57 nt
Organism: Kibdelosporangium phytohabitans
Lineage: Bacteria; Bacillati; Actinomycetota; Actinomycetes; Pseudonocardiales; Pseudonocardiaceae
Rfam family: F6 TB sRNA
Source: Rfam
CCAAUGACCCCGAGAUGCUGGCGGACCCCCGACCUGGCAGCAUCCCGGGGUCUUCCA